CAGCCGCCACGGUAAUACGUAGGGUGCAAGCGUUAAUCGGAAUUACUGGGCGUAAAGCGUGCGCAGGCGGUUAUAUAAGACAGAUGUGAAAUCCCCGGGCUCAACCUGGGAACUGCAUUUGUGACUGUAUAGCUAGAGUACGGCAGAGGGGGAUGGAAUUCCGCGUGUAGCAGUGAAAUGCGUAGAUAUGCGGAGGAACACCGAUGGCGAAGGCAAUCCCCUGGGCCUGUACUGACGCUCAUGCACGAAAGCGUGGGGAGCAAACAGGAUUAGAGACCCGCGUAGUCCCUGUCUCUUAUAC
RNAcentral lists this ribosomal RNA (301 nucleotides) under uncultured bacterium. RNAcentral describes it as "partial 16S ribosomal RNA". It matches the Rfam family "Bacterial small subunit ribosomal RNA", at positions 509 to 807 of the family's 1533-position model. The record is from RNAcentral.